Molecule: long non-coding RNA, 249 nt
Filed under: Mytilus galloprovincialis (Mediterranean mussel)
Lineage: Eukaryota; Metazoa; Mollusca; Bivalvia; Mytilida; Mytilidae
Source: RNAcentral
CUCUUUUCCUUUUAUUGUCACUGACUUUUACCUAUUGUGUCUUUUAGUUUUAUUCAGUUUAAUGAAAUUUAAUGCAACUUGCAUACAAAUGAAAUAUGCAGCUAGCUGUAAAACUAGGUUUAUUCAUUUAUACAAAAUGUCCUUUUUUUUUUUUUUUUUUUUUUUUUUUUUUUUUAAAGUUUUCCCAUUUACUGUAAAUCUUGGCCAGGGUGCCGCAAUUUCACCGUGCGCAACGUCCCAGUGUGUCCA